ACAUUACUCCCUUCGUUUCAAAUUACUAGUCGCAGAAAUGGAUGUAUCUAGAAGUAAAAUACAUCUAGAUACAUCCAUUUCUGCGACGAGUAAUUCGGAACGGAGGGAGUAGAUU
Molecule: non-coding RNA, 115 nt
Organism: Triticum aestivum (bread wheat)
Lineage: Eukaryota; Viridiplantae; Streptophyta; Magnoliopsida; Poales; Poaceae
Source: Rfam